Molecule: ribosomal RNA, 440 nt
Filed under: uncultured bacterium
Lineage: Bacteria
Description: bacterial SSU rRNA
Rfam family: Bacterial small subunit ribosomal RNA
Source: RNAcentral
CCUACGGGUGGCAGCAGUGGGGAAUAUUGCACAAUGGGCGCAAGCCUGAUGCAGCGACGCCGCGUGAGCGAUGAAGGCCUUCGGGUCGUAAAGCUCUGUCCUAAGGGAAGAAGCAUGACGGUACCUUAGGAGGAAGCCCCGGCUAACUACGUGCCAGCAGCCGCGGUAAUACGUAGGGGGCGAGCGUUAUCCGGAAUACCUGGGCGGAAAGGGUGCGUAGGCGGCCGAUUAAGCAAGGGGUGAAAGGCUACGACGCAACCGUAGUACGCCCUUGGAACUGAUUGGCUUGAGUGAAGGAGAGGAGAGUGGAAUUCCUAGAGUAGCAGUGAAAUGCGUAGAAAAUAGGAGGAACACCAGUGGCGAAGGCGACGCUCUUGACUGUAACUGACGCUGAGGCACGAAAGCGUGGGGAGCAAACAGGAUUAGAUACCCCUGUAGUC